RNAcentral lists this long non-coding RNA (481 nucleotides) under Bos taurus (domestic cattle). Its description in RNAcentral is "long non-coding RNA NONBTAT000520". Lineage: Eukaryota; Metazoa; Chordata; Mammalia; Artiodactyla; Bovidae. The record is from RNAcentral.
GUUUAAUUCAACUGAAGUCUAAUUCAAAUUUUGCAACCUUUUGAUAUCAGAUUGAAUGGCACUUACUAAAACAGAUAUAUAAAUAAUACAUCAUCUUAUAUUCUUCUGAAACUGCUUACAGUAUAUUCUAGGAUUACAUACCAACCAUAAUCUCCAAAACUGUGAAUGACCAGUGAGACAAUGAAAAAGGACUGGACCGCAUUCAAAUUCUUUUUGUCGGGGUGGGGUGGAAUUCAGUUGAGCUUUGAAUCUGGGAGGCUGAACCAUGGGUCUUAGAAUCCAAGGUUGCUGUUGGAGAAAUAGUGAGAAUUAGCUAGAAAGGUUUUCAGGAAAGAGUAAAUUCAAUUAACUUGCUAUGGCUAAAUAUUUGAAACCUGAAAUUUUUCAGGCUUCCAGACUUGUUCUGAUCUCAGUCAGGCAUUGGCAAUCAAGAAAAGUGCUCGUUUUGUAGUACACCAAGCUACUGCCACUCCCCUGGACA